This 301-nucleotide ribosomal RNA is filed under the name uncultured bacterium. RNAcentral describes it as "partial 16S ribosomal RNA". It matches the Rfam family "Bacterial small subunit ribosomal RNA", at positions 509 to 808 of the family's 1533-position model. The record is from RNAcentral.
CAGUAGCCGCGGGAACACGUAGGGUGCGAGCGUUGUCCGGAAUUAUUGGGCGUAAAGAGCUCGUAGGCGGUGUGUCGCGUCGGCCGUGAAAACCUGGGGCUCAACUCUGGGCGUGCGGUCGAUACGGGCAUCACUUGAGUUCGGCAGGGGAGACUGGAAUUCCUGGUGUAGCGGUGAAAUGCGCAGAUAUCAGGAGGAACACCGGUGGCGAAGGCGGGUCUCUGGGCCGAUACUGACGCUGAGGAGCGGAAGCAUGGGUAGCGAACAGGAUUAGAUACCCGUGUAGUCCCUGUCUCUUAUA